AAGCGGUUGGUUGCCGACUGCAAGAUCUGUAGUCGGGCGGCCUCCCUUCUCAUUUUUGAGAAGGCCGAUUCGGCUGAGGAAGUUAAUUUAUUUGAGGUGGUUGGAUUUGUGGCUUGAAUCUUUCCUGACAUUUUUUUUCAAGGAAGAAAAAACAGGCUAUUGAUGCCUUGAUUGUUUUGAGGUAUUUGGAACCGUGAUGAAUGAUUUCUGAGUUCCCAGAAUCAUGCCUGCUCUGAUACCAUGUUAAAACAUGGUAUCAAUGAAU
This 265-nucleotide long non-coding RNA is filed under the name Salvia miltiorrhiza (redroot sage). RNAcentral's name for it is "long non-coding RNA (SMIL_LNC003067)". The record is from RNAcentral. Lineage: Eukaryota; Viridiplantae; Streptophyta; Magnoliopsida; Lamiales; Lamiaceae.